AAUAAAAAAAAUAAAGAGUCUUGCAACGAUGCAUAUCGUAUCAUAACAUUUUCAUUUUCAGGUUCAAAAUCUGGGUCUCCAUGGUAUUUAACCAUCCCCCACUGCGAUCCGAUGAAAAAUGUUGUUUCAUUUUCCUCUGGUGGAGGAUGUUUAAAUAGGGGCAACUGUCAUACCCCGAUUUUGGCCCUGAAAAUUUUUCCCCAUCAAUCACUCGUUUGCG
This 220-nucleotide long non-coding RNA is filed under the name Lathyrus oleraceus (garden pea). RNAcentral's name for it is "Pisum sativum (pea) long non-coding RNA (PSAT_LNC011424)". Lineage: Eukaryota; Viridiplantae; Streptophyta; Magnoliopsida; Fabales; Fabaceae. The record is from RNAcentral.